UACGGAGGGUGCAAGCGUUAUCCGGAUUUACUGGGUUUAUAGGGUUCGUAGGCGGUGCGGCAAGUUGGGAGUGAAAUCUAUGGGCUCAACCUAGAGGCUGCUUCCAAAACUGCUGUGCUUGAGUGUGGGAGAGGCGCGUGGAAUUGCAGGUGUAGCGGUGAAAUGCGUAGAUAUCUGCAGGAACACCCGUGGCGAAAGCGGCGCGCUGGACCACAACUGACGCUGAGGAACGAAAGCUAGGGGAGCAAACAGG
RNAcentral lists this ribosomal RNA (253 nucleotides) under uncultured bacterium. RNAcentral's name for it is "partial 16S ribosomal RNA". It matches the Rfam family "Bacterial small subunit ribosomal RNA", at positions 524 to 776 of the family's 1533-position model. The record is from RNAcentral.